GGGGUUGUGGCUCAGUGGCAGAGUGUUCACCUAGCAUGUGUAAGGCACUGGGUUUGAUUCUCAGCACCA
RNAcentral lists this transfer RNA (69 nucleotides) under Ictidomys tridecemlineatus (thirteen-lined ground squirrel). RNAcentral's name for it is "Spermophilus tridecemlineatus (thirteen-lined ground squirrel) tRNA". It matches the Rfam family "tRNA". From Rfam's summary of the family: Transfer RNA (tRNA) molecules are approximately 80 nucleotides in length. Lineage: Eukaryota; Metazoa; Chordata; Mammalia; Rodentia; Sciuridae. The record is from Rfam by way of RNAcentral.